RNAcentral lists this long non-coding RNA (800 nucleotides) under Gallus gallus (chicken). Its description in RNAcentral is "lncRNA (ENSGALG00010015270.1)". Lineage: Eukaryota; Metazoa; Chordata; Aves; Galliformes; Phasianidae. The record is from RNAcentral.
AACAUGUUUGCAGUUCCUGCAAAGUGCUUGGUUUUGCCUUUGUUCCUGCAGCAGGAAGCCUUGCCUUUUUUUCUCAGGCUAUUUAAAACUUGUCUGUGAUGACAUGAUUAGAAAGGUGCAGGUUCUUUACUGCUCUGUGUAGAAAAAAAUCACUGACUUUUUUUUUUUGCAUUUUUCAGUUUUCACCUGUCUUUACUAACCUACAUGGAAGAUGCUGCUUAAAUUAUGGCCUACCUUCCCUUUCUAGCCUUACCCAUGUGUUUCUGGAAACAUCUUUACACCCAUGCUAACAGCCAUGAGGCUGGAUCAUGAGCUGUGUCAAGGAGCUGACCCCAGCAAGAAUCUAUCAAAACCAGCAAAAUAAAUAAAUAAUAAUAAUAAAAUAAAAAUUUUUGAAGCUGCAGCCUGAAGAGCUACAGGCUUAUAUCUCUCAACUUACUGGAUCCAGCCACAAACCAGAUGUUCUGGAGGGGGCUUUCUGGCUGGAUGAGUUCCUAAGGAUGGUUCAGAGUCAGCCACCUGUGCUCCAGGAACCCUUGGUAACAAACUAUAGAGGAAAGAUGUAUAUACUAAAUGACAAGGAGAUGAAUGCUGAAGUUUCCAUGUGCAUUCAAGUGUUUGGUGUUUCUACUCUUCUUCCAUUUGAGAAGACCAUAUAUAUGAUAUUGCUGCCAUUAUAAUGACAUUCUUCAACAAGGAAGAUGCGUCUUUUUAUGGGCAUUGGCACCAUUUACAGGAUCCACAUUUAUGCAAGUCUGUUCUGUAUUUCAUUUAAAUAAAGCCUCCAUAAAAGCUUUGAU